UUCCCACGAAAUAGUGCAAAGUCACAUUUCCAAACACGGGCCCAUGGAGCUUCAGAAACAACUCAAAGUGAUAUCCUGGCCCUCAAUGAAUAAAGUAAUUGUUUGAUAGCUUACAGUAUGCAUAGUCAUCUUUUAUUCUGUUCUCUACAUUUCUCCUGGGAUAAUGGGCCUUGCAGAGAGCUUUGUAGACAGCUCUCUGUUAUCACUCACUUCUCCAUGUGUCCCUGCAACCGCUGAUCUUGACCAGAUUUAGGAUGUGCCAUGUACAACAAGUGAAAACACUGAAUAAAUCUUGGUCCUAUAUAAAGUA
Long non-coding RNA from Alosa sapidissima (American shad), 310 nucleotides. RefSeq lists it as uncharacterized. The transcript is spliced from 3 exons. Lineage: Eukaryota; Metazoa; Chordata; Actinopteri; Clupeiformes; Clupeidae. The record is from RefSeq and is a predicted model, not a curated record.